AGAGUUUGAUCCUGGCUCAGAUUGAACGCUGGCGGCGUGCUUAACACAUGCAAGUCGUGCGAGAAAGGGGACUUCGGUCCCUGAGUAGAGCGGCGCACGGGUGAGUAACGCGUGGAUUAUCUACCCAGAUAUUCGGGAUAACGGCGGGAAACUGCCGCUAAUACCGGAUACGCUCCAAUUUCGGUUGGGGGAAAGGCGGCCUCUGCUUGCAAGCUGUCGUAUCUGGAUGAGUCCGCGUCCCAUUAGCUUGUUGGUGGGGUAAUGGCCUACCAAGGCGACGAUGGGUAGCUGGUCUGAGAGGAUGAUCAGCCACACUGGAACUGAAACACGGUCCAGACUCCUACGGGAGGCAGCAGUGGGGAAUAUUGCGCAAUGGGGGAAACCCUGACGCAGCGACGCCGUGUGAGGGAAGAAGGCUUUCGGG
Molecule: ribosomal RNA, 424 nt
Filed under: uncultured bacterium
Lineage: Bacteria
Description: bacterial SSU rRNA
Rfam family: Bacterial small subunit ribosomal RNA
Source: RNAcentral